GCUGGGCAUGGUGAUACAUGUCUAUAAUUCCAGCUCCCAGGGAGGCUGAGGCUGACAGAUCUGUUGAGCUCAGGAAUUCUGAGCUUCAGAGGGCCCAGUUGACCCAGUGUCCUUACUAAGUUUGGCAUCAAUAUACUGAGCCCCUGAGAAUGAAAGGCAACCAGGUUGCCUGAGAAGGAGUAAACCAGCCCAGGUUGGAAAAGGAGCAAGUCAAAGCUCAUGUGUUAAUCAGUUAGCAGUAUCAUGCCCAAGAAUAGCUCUUGCAUUUCUAGUCAGAGUGAGAUAGGGAGACUCGAUCUUU
This 301-nucleotide signal recognition particle RNA is filed under the name Phascolarctos cinereus (koala). Its description in RNAcentral is "Metazoan signal recognition particle RNA (ENSPCIG00000012005.2)". It matches the Rfam family "Metazoan signal recognition particle RNA". From Rfam's summary of the family: The signal recognition particle (SRP) is a universally conserved ribonucleoprotein. It is involved in the co-translational targeting of proteins to membranes. Lineage: Eukaryota; Metazoa; Chordata; Mammalia; Diprotodontia; Phascolarctidae. The record is from RNAcentral.